This is a long non-coding RNA of Lonchura striata (white-rumped munia), 588 nucleotides long. RefSeq lists it as uncharacterized. Lineage: Eukaryota; Metazoa; Chordata; Aves; Passeriformes; Estrildidae. The record is from RefSeq and is a predicted model, not a curated record.
CUGGUCUGCUGAGGAGUCACAGGAGCAGAAGCACUUUGUAGCAGCACCUUACCAUCCCCCAGUAUGAGGUUAAACAAGUCAUCGGCUUUUCCCCCCAAGGACCUCUUUUCAAGGCCAAAUUCUAUCCUCCUGUAUACCUCUUCAUCCAGUGAAGUUCUCAGGUUUGAUGAAAAUGAAAAGUAGAGACAGCAAUGAGACCUAAUGCCAGUGCUCUUCAAAAGACAAAGCACUUCUACAAAAUCCAUGGCAUGACCAGCUAAGCAAGACACUGUCCAGAAGAAAAAAGGAAGUGGAAAAAGGAAAGGAAAAUAAAACUGUGGACUUCUUGUCUGCUAGAUGGAUACCAAGAAACCUAACAGUGAGUGCAGGAGAUACGACAUACAGAGCAAGAAGAGAAAAGUUAACAGACCCAUUGCCUUCUUCAGAGACACCUACAAGUCACAAUAGGUUCUCAGAAGAAUAAAAUCCAAAUUUUUAUCUUAACUGUCAUUUUGCUCCAAUGAAACCUGUGACCCUCCUGUCAAUCUCCACAAGUGAAAUCUUAUAUAAUGAAAAAUAAUAUAAUAAAAUCUGAUUUGAAAAGGCAAA